RNAcentral lists this ribosomal RNA (492 nucleotides) under uncultured bacterium. RNAcentral's name for it is "partial 16S ribosomal RNA". It matches the Rfam family "Bacterial small subunit ribosomal RNA", at positions 29 to 507 of the family's 1533-position model. The record is from RNAcentral.
AGUGAACGCUGGCGGCAGGCCUAACACAUGCAAGUCGAACGGCAGCACAGUUACAGCUUGCUCUUACUGGUGGCGAGUGGCGUACUGUUUAGGAAAACAUCGUAAUCUACUUUUUCGUGGGGGAUAACGUUGUGAUACUUACCCUAAUACCGCAUACUACCUUCCUGUUAUUGCAAGCUAUCUUCGGUCCUUGUGCGAUUGAAUGAGCUGACGUCGGUUUAGCUAGUUGGCGGGGUAAAGGCCCACCUAGGCGACGGUCCUUAGCAGGUCUGAGAGGAUGAUCAGCCACACUGGAAAUGAGACAAGGUCCAGAAUCCUAAGGGAGGCAGCAGUGGGAAGUAUUGGACAAUGGGCAGAAGCCAGAUCCAGGCAAACCGCGUGAGUGAAGAAGGGCUUCGGGUUGUGAAGCAUUUUUGUUGGGAAAGAAAAGAAGCAGGUUAAUACCGAGCAGUUCUGACGGUACCCAAAGAAUAAGCACCGGCUAACUUCGUG